Molecule: transfer RNA, 90 nt
Filed under: Streptomyces kronopolitis
Lineage: Bacteria; Bacillati; Actinomycetota; Actinomycetes; Kitasatosporales; Streptomycetaceae
Description: tRNA-Ile
Source: RNAcentral
GGGGGUGAGCAUGUGGUGGCGCAGGGUGUUGUCGAUGGCGCCGCGGAUGGCGACGGCCAUCACCCGCGGUUCGACGUCCGCGAACUCCCC